GCUGGCGGCGGCUUACAAUGCAACCCGAGCGGGGUAGUGGUGCUUGCACUAUACUUAGCGGCGGGAGGAUGAGUAAUGCUUAGGAAUCUGCCUAUUAGUGGGGGACAAUAUCUCGAAAGGAAUGCUAAUACCGCAUACGUCCUACGGGAGAAAGCAGGGGAUCUUCGGACCUUGCGCUAAUAGAUGAGCCUAAGUCGGAUUAGCUAGUUGGUGGGGUAAAGGCCUACCAAGGCGACGAUCUGUAGCGGGUCUGAGAGGAUGAUCCGCCACACUGGGACUGAGACACGGCCCAGACUCCUACGGGAGGCAGCAGUGGGGAAUAUUGGACAAUGGGCGCCAGCCUGAUCCAGCCAUGCCGCGUGUGUGAAGAAGGCCUUAUGGUUGGAAAGUACUUUAAGCGAGGAGGAGGCUACUCUAGUUAAUACCUAGAGAUAGUGGACGUUACUCCCCGAAGAACACCGGCUUACUCUGUGAGCUCUUCCGCGGUAAUACCCAGGGAGGGAGCGUUCAACUGAUUUACAGGAAGCAAAGUGCGCGCAGGCGGGUGAUUACCCCAAUGUGUAAAUUCCGAGUUUAACUUGGGGAUUGUAUUCCACACCGGUUAACUAAAGGGUGUGAGAGGAGGGU
Molecule: ribosomal RNA, 627 nt
Filed under: Acinetobacter sp. Bac272W4
Lineage: Bacteria; Pseudomonadati; Pseudomonadota; Gammaproteobacteria; Moraxellales; Moraxellaceae
Description: bacterial SSU rRNA
Rfam family: Bacterial small subunit ribosomal RNA
Source: RNAcentral